UACGGGGGGGGCAAGCGUUGUUCGGAAUUACUGGGCGUAAAGGGCUCGUAGGUUGCCAACUAAGUCAGACGUGAAAUCCCUCGGCUUAACCGGGGAAUUGCGUCUGAUACUGGAUGGCUUGAGUUCGGGAGAGGGAUGCGGAAUUCCAGGUGUAGCGGUGAAAUGCGUAGAUAUCUGGAGGAACACCGGUGGCGAAGGCGGCAUCCUGGACCGACACUGACACUGAGGAGCGAAAGCCAGGGGAGCAAACGGG
Molecule: ribosomal RNA, 253 nt
Filed under: uncultured bacterium
Lineage: Bacteria
Description: partial 16S ribosomal RNA
Rfam family: Bacterial small subunit ribosomal RNA
Source: RNAcentral